This is a long non-coding RNA of Xenopus laevis (African clawed frog), 762 nucleotides long. RefSeq lists it as uncharacterized. The transcript has 2 exons. The record is from RefSeq and is a predicted model, not a curated record. NCBI's taxonomy places the organism in Eukaryota, Metazoa, Chordata, Amphibia, Anura, Pipidae.
CGCUCAGGCGCUUCCUCCCGCUGCCACAAUUUGUACCAACACCGGACACCCCUGAAACCCCCGCGUGGUUCAGUCCGCUCUCUCUAGAAACUUCCCUAGGAAUCAUCCAAAACACAAAGCUGCGGGGGAACUGUUUGAUGAAGAAGGAAUACUGACAGUGAUGAAUAGAAGACCAUAACUCCACUGAGAUAAUGAGAAGGUCAAAGCUGAACAGCCAGUUAUUGGAGAUCAUUCGUUUCUGGAAUGAGCUGUCUAUUUUGACGAGUUCCCAAGAAUGUACCCUGUUUUGGUUUGUCAUUUAGUUUUUAUUUUUCAAAAUAUUUUAUUUUUUUACAAAUAAAUACACAAAUACACAUAAAUACACAAAAAUUAAGAUUAUAGCUGGAGAAAUCUGUAGCCCUGGAUAAUUUGUUUUUCCAAUAAGUCACUAUGAAAGUCAUUAAGGAAAUCUUCCACUACAACAUCACCGGGCAGGGUGAUCCAUAACUUCUCUGCCGUGAAGAUUCAUUUACUUCCGGUGAAAAUUCUGUUACUUGAGUCUUUAGGGUUGGCCUUAUGUUCUUGUGUGACCUCUACCUCUCCAUCCUUUAGGUGAAUCAUAAUCAGUUUACCGAGCCAAGUCAUGCAAGAAAUAAUAAUAACAGAAUACAAUCUCCUACUUAGGAUUGUACAUUUCAAAAAUAAACAUAGAAAAUUAUUUUACUUUACUUUACAUUAUUGAAUAAUCGCGUAAUAAAAGCACAAAAUGUUUCAACCAAAAAA